RNAcentral lists this transfer RNA (70 nucleotides) under Marmota monax (woodchuck). Its description in RNAcentral is "tRNA.Ala". The record is from RNAcentral. Lineage: Eukaryota; Metazoa; Chordata; Mammalia; Rodentia; Sciuridae.
GGUGUAGCUCAGCGGUACAGCCCUUGCCUGGCAUGUGUGAGAUCCUGGGUUUGAUCCCCAGCAAAAACCA